RNAcentral lists this transfer RNA (86 nucleotides) under Felis catus (domestic cat). It matches the Rfam family "tRNA". Rfam says of the family: Transfer RNA (tRNA) molecules are approximately 80 nucleotides in length. Their secondary structure includes four short double-helical elements and three loops (D, anti-codon, and T loops). The record is from Rfam by way of RNAcentral. Lineage: Eukaryota; Metazoa; Chordata; Mammalia; Carnivora; Felidae.
GCCUGGGUGGCUCAAUCGGCUGAGCAUCUGGCUUCGGCUCAGGUCAUGAUCUCACAGGCCGGUGGGUUCGAGCCCCACAUCGGGCU